CUCUACUACCACCACUAAAAGAAGCCAAGUCAUCUGACUGCUAGUGACCUAAUUUUUGCAUAGCUGUUUGUAAUUCUCAUCAUCAUGUUAUGGCGAUAUAAUUUAUUAAUCCUUCUGGCAUUUUUCUCCUUGACAGCUUCUCAGUUGCUGUUACAUUCUACUUGGAUGGAGCUACUAUAUUGAAGAUGAGGAUUUCAUUUCAUAAUUGCCACAAACUGUAAGUGUGAAUUAAUAGUAUCCUCUAUAAAGUAACAUUAAAAUCUCCUGACUUGUU
RNAcentral lists this long non-coding RNA (274 nucleotides) under Callithrix jacchus (white-tufted-ear marmoset). RNAcentral describes it as "lncRNA (ENSCJAG00000083727.1)". Lineage: Eukaryota; Metazoa; Chordata; Mammalia; Primates; Cebidae. The record is from RNAcentral.